AGGCAAGAUGGAGGCAUAGCUGC
RNAcentral lists this microRNA (23 nucleotides) under Limulus polyphemus (Atlantic horseshoe crab). RNAcentral describes it as "Lpo-Mir-31-P14_5p (mature (guide))". Lineage: Eukaryota; Metazoa; Arthropoda; Merostomata; Xiphosura; Limulidae. The record is from RNAcentral.